GUGCUUGCUUCGGCAGCACAUAUACUAAAAUUGGAAUGAUACAGAGAAGAUUAGCAUGGCCCCUGCGCAAGGAAAAAAAAUUUUUUUUAAUUAAAAAAAUUUUUUUU
Small nuclear RNA from Molossus molossus (Pallas's mastiff bat), 107 nucleotides. NCBI's taxonomy places the organism in Eukaryota, Metazoa, Chordata, Mammalia, Chiroptera, Molossidae. The record is from RefSeq and is a predicted model, not a curated record.